UGAGAACUUAUUUUGAGGAAUAUUCCAAUCACUUUAAAACAACCUCAAACAAUCCAUCAGAAACAACGGCAAACUGCAAAGUACAGCUGGAUAAACGUCUUCACAGUGCUCUUUGUCGAUUGCUUACCAGAGUAGGCUACUUAAUGUCUUUUCAUUUACAGUACUUCAUCUGUAAAACCGAGAAAGUCCUGUUUGCUUUUCAGGGCUGUUGUAAUGUGUAAAUGAGGCACUAGGCUGUGGCAUGGCAGCUUCUGAGGGAUACUAACUCAUCAUGUCGCUAGAGGUUGUGAAAAUUUCCAACCCUUGGGUCAAGGGCUUCGGUGUCUUUUAAUGACUACAGACACAAUUUGACUGGCCCUGACACAAACUGUCAAAGAAUAAGACAGCUUCCACAUUAUACAAGUUUGUGUAAUACAGUGAUUCAUUCUGAGGUUGGAACAAAAGAACAGUUUCAGUACGGAACCAAGUGUAGAAGCGAAAGGAAGUUUGUGCCCAAAAUAUUGACCAUCCUCUGGCUAAAUGAUGGAACCUUUGAUCUAGAAAGUGACUUACAGACUGACUCGAAGUGUGGCACAGAAGCUUUCUCUCACUGAAGAACAGUCUCUGACUAGCUGCCCCACUCCAAUACUUCCAGUAACCCAGGUCUCUAAAGUAAGCUUUUCUGAAGGGUACAUUCAACGCCGCUUGUAUUUACCAAAACAGGGAUUUCUACCUUCCAGCAGAUACUUUGAAUUUUGACAUUCAUUAGAGAACAGUGAGAUUUAUCACCCAUGAUUGUAUUCUGCCCCAUGAAACUGAUCAAACUCAUGAUUUCUGUUCAAAAUGACGCAAACAAUUUC
RNAcentral lists this long non-coding RNA (839 nucleotides) under Sus scrofa (pig). RNAcentral's name for it is "lncRNA (ENSSSCG00050045765.1)". The record is from RNAcentral. Lineage: Eukaryota; Metazoa; Chordata; Mammalia; Artiodactyla; Suidae.